UGGCCUACGGGGGGCAGCAGUGAGGAAUAUUGGUCAAUGGGCGAGAGCCUGAACCAGCCAAGUCGCGUGAGGGAGUACUGCCCUAUGGGUUGUAAACCUCUUUUGUCGGGGAGCAAAAGCCGGACGUGUCCGGCUGUGAGAGUACCCGAAGAAAAAGCAUCGGCUAACUCCGUGCCAGCAGCCGCGGUAAUACGUAUGGAGCAAGCGUUAUCCGGAUUUACUGGGUGUAAAGGGAGCGCAGACGGCAAGGCAAGUCUGAUGUGAAAGUCCGAGGCUCAACCUCGGGACUGCAUUGGAAACUGUCU
This 305-nucleotide ribosomal RNA is filed under the name uncultured bacterium. RNAcentral's name for it is "bacterial SSU rRNA". It matches the Rfam family "Bacterial small subunit ribosomal RNA", at positions 335 to 638 of the family's 1533-position model. The record is from RNAcentral.